GAUGAACGCUGGCGGCGUGCCUAAUACAUGCAAGUCGAGCGAACGGACGAGAAGCUUGCUUCUCUGAUGUUAGCGGCGGACGGGUGAGUAACACGUGGAUAACCUACCUAUAAGACUGGGAUAACUUCGGGAAACCGGUGCUAAUACCGGAUAAUAUUUUGAACCGCAUGGUUCAAAAGUGAAAGACGGUCUUGCUGUCACUUAUAGAUGGAUCCGCGCUGCAUUAGCUAGUUGGUAAGGUAACGGCUUACCAAGGCAACGAUGCAUAGCCGACCUGAGAGGGUGAUCGGCCACACUGGAACUGAGACACGGUCCAGACUCCUACGGGAGGCAGCAGUAGGGAAUCUUCCGCAAUGGGCGAAAGCCUGACGGAGCAACGCCGAGUGAGUGAUGAAGGUCUUCGGAUCGUAAAACUCUGUUAUUAGGGAAGAACAUAUGUGUAAGUAACUGUGCACAUCUUGACGGUACCUAAUCAGAAAGCCACGGCUAACUACGUG
Molecule: ribosomal RNA, 497 nt
Filed under: uncultured bacterium
Lineage: Bacteria
Description: partial 16S ribosomal RNA
Rfam family: Bacterial small subunit ribosomal RNA
Source: RNAcentral